Non-coding RNA from Claviceps maximensis, 93 nucleotides. Lineage: Eukaryota; Fungi; Ascomycota; Sordariomycetes; Hypocreales; Clavicipitaceae. The record is from the annotation of a GenBank genome assembly.
GGCCGCGUGGCCUAAUGGCUAAGGCGCUAGAUUUCGGUUCCCCAUUUCGACCGUACUCUCUAGAGAUUCCAGGUUCGACUCCUGGCGUGGUCG